UAAUCAAUUCUCGUUGAGAAUUAUAAGCAAGUUAGGCUGGCAUGAUACAGUGGCACGAGAAGCAAUUUGAAAUUACUCACAGUUGGCUUUUAUGCGAGUGAAUGUUCUACUUCAGCUGAAUCUAUUGUGUAGUUCUAGAGGCUAGUGUCUUUUUAGUCUGCGGAUGUGUUCUGUACUGUCCAACAGUUGGGUCACCGGUGGGUUCGGGUGAUUGCUUACACGUGUAUUAUAUCUAUUGCUGUACUUUGAUAUUUCUCCUUUUAUUCAAGAUAUACAAUAAUGAAACUGAAAAGAGCUUGAGCAUAAGAUUCAAAGAGCAUGAAACAUACACCAGAUUGGAUUACGUACAAUCGACCGUAACAGAGCAUCAAAAGAAUGGAGUGGAGAAUUACAUAGAGAAACGAAGCAAGAUAACUACUAGGAUAAAAGUUUUUUUCUGUAAUAUCCAAUCCUUGGUAGUAGCAUUGACGAAUUGUAUUAAAGGCAUUUAUACCUACAGUGGCUCGCAAAGUCUUAUAAAAUUUUUCACUUUUGACAUUUCAUCAGCACUAUAAUGAGACUCAACUGCUACGAUUCUAUUGGCAAAAUUUGAAUGCAAUCUGAAAAUUGUACACAGAAGUAGCAAGACAUUUAUUUAUAUCUACCAAGAAAAAUUAGUAUACUAUGUGUAAAUUAGCAUACUAGUCACCUCAAGUAUACAAAAA
This 704-nucleotide unclassified non-coding RNA is filed under the name Bombus terrestris (buff-tailed bumblebee). RNAcentral's name for it is "misc RNA ENSBTSG00005026276.1". The record is from RNAcentral. Lineage: Eukaryota; Metazoa; Arthropoda; Insecta; Hymenoptera; Apidae.